CACGUAGGGGGCGAGCGUUGUCCGGAUUUAUUGGGCGUAAAGAGCUCGUAGGUGGCUCGGUAAGUCGGGUGUGAAAUUUCGAGGCUCAACCUCGAGACGCCACCUGAUACUGCUGUGGCUAGAGUCCGGUAGGGGAGCGUGGAAUUCCUGGUGUAGCGGUGAAAUGCGCAGAUAUCAGGAGGAACACCAGCGGCGAAGGCGCCGCUCUGGGCCGUAACUGACGCUGAGGAGCGAAAGCAUGGGUAGCAAACAGG
This 254-nucleotide ribosomal RNA is filed under the name uncultured bacterium. RNAcentral's name for it is "partial 16S ribosomal RNA". It matches the Rfam family "Bacterial small subunit ribosomal RNA", at positions 524 to 776 of the family's 1533-position model. The record is from RNAcentral.